RNAcentral lists this long non-coding RNA (1278 nucleotides) under Cyanistes caeruleus (blue tit). RNAcentral's name for it is "lncRNA (ENSCCEG00000007799.1)". The record is from RNAcentral. Lineage: Eukaryota; Metazoa; Chordata; Aves; Passeriformes; Paridae.
CUUGUCUUGGAAAAAGAUGGAAAUAUCUCCCUGCAGCAACCUCUCCAAACCCGCAGAAACAAGUGGCUCGUGUUGAGAGCAACAUCCCUGUGUUUUCCCAGGAAGCUUUUCUGGGCAAAGGGACUGUGACAUUUUGCAGAAGUUCUGCAGUUUCUGGUGCCCAGGAUGGGAAGGGAUGGCAAAACUCGAGAGCUGUCCUUCAAGUGGCCUUGCCUGAGCAAAGUGAACAGCUUGAGUGCCUAUCAUUAGCAGGCAGAACACCUCUGCAGGAGGCACACGGCUUGAAACCCUGAGAAUUCUGCAUGAUUACAGCUAAGCAACUCCUCAAAAAUCAAGCAGAAAGUUUUCCUGAGGGAGUUUAUCUAGGGGAAAAAAAAAAUAAAAAUGUUUACACUAAGGUUAGCAUGCAUUAACUGAGCCUGAGUAGGAAAAAAUUGUUGUUUGGAGAUAAACAGAGAGUUUCAGCUCUCGGGGGGAGCAAGGGUUGCAAGGACAGGGAUGAUAAAUGCUGCACCCCAGGGUACUGCAAACAGGACCUGCAGCUCCAAGGUGGUGGUGUAGCUGCUGGAACUGAUUCUUCUCUGAAGGGAUCACAUGGGCCAGAUCCAACCUAACCACGAAUUUUGGAACAAAACAGAGCCAAACUUCCUCUCCUCUACAGCCUUUAGCAAGAUACUUCCACAACCUACAAAUGUGCAGUUGUUCCACUGGAAUCAGAGCCUCCAAUCCGUAGAUUUUUUCCUGUUCCAAAGAGCAGGCACAGAUUUACUGCCUGAAGGGAAGAAGUGGAGCAGUACUAAAACAUUUGGAGCCAUCAAAGACAGAGCCCAUGGGACAGAAACCUCCCAGGUUACACGAACAGAGCAAAUCUCACCCAUUUCUCCUUUGGAUGACAGCUGUGUCAGAGAGAUAGGGAGUGAUAACUGCAGCACUGGAGGUCUCCAAGUGUUUCCAAAAGGAAUUCUCCACUUCACCUCUCCCCUUGCAAUAAUAUGUGCUUGCAACAGUGCCCAUAGUCUUCCAAAGAAGCCACCCCGAGGGCUUGCCACACUGAAUUCUCCAGUUUCACCUAAGAAGACACAUGCCCUGGCAAGCUCAGUCUUACUAACCUUGCUAGGACAACGUGCAGUGUUUGUGUUGGGAACAGGAACGUGUGGUAAACAAAGAUUUCACUGGAAUGAACAAAGAUUUCACUGGUGUGAGCAAAGAUUUCACUGCCAUGAAUAAAGAUUUCACUGGCAUGAGCAAAGAUUUCAUUGCCAUGAAUAAAGAUUUCAC